UUCUCUCCCACUUCCGCCUCGCUCCGCCUUUUUCACUGCAGGUUCUGUGAUCUACCCACGCGGAUUCGCUCCGAUUAUUCGGGCUCGCCACCGUCUUCCUCCUCUGAAGCUCCGUCGCUCUGACUGUGCGAGUGUGGCAAGGUUCUGAAGAUCGGAGCUAUAACUGUCGGCAUGUAUUGAAAGAUCAUACUGCUGAGGUGUUGGAGGCAGCAAAACGUCUUCAUUUGAAGGAACAUGCUAUAUGUGAUGGUUCUAGAAACAUUUUCAAAUUAGCUGCACCAGUGGAAUGCAAGGGUAUUGUGGGUAGUGAUGACAGGUUAUCCUCUUGGGACAGCUUAUCUUACCUCUUUUUUGUUUGCUGGUUGAUAUGUGAUCAUUUUAAGUCUAACAUCACCUUCUACUCACAAUUUGUUCGAACAAUGUGCUUUCAUUGUUCAUGCCAUUUUGGAUAUUUUCAUUAUCUUGCUGCUUUCCUCCUCAAUAAUUGUUGCAAUUAUAGUUUAGUUC
Molecule: long non-coding RNA, 507 nt
Organism: Syzygium oleosum
Lineage: Eukaryota; Viridiplantae; Streptophyta; Magnoliopsida; Myrtales; Myrtaceae
Exons: 3
Source: RefSeq, a predicted model, not a curated record